GACGAACGCUGGCGGCAUGCCUAACACAUGCAAGUGGAGCGACGACCCGGACUUCGGUCCGGUGCAAAGCCGCGAACGGGUGAGUAACACGUGGGUUACUUGCCCCGAUGACCGGGACAACCCGUCGAAAGACGGGCUAAUACCGGAUGUGCCCGCAAGGGGGAAGGAAGCUUCGGCCUCCGCAUCGGGAUGGGCCCGCGGGGCAUUAGCUAGUUGGUGGGGUAAUGGCCUACCAAGGCGACGAUGCAUAGCUGGUCUGAGAGGACGAUCAGCCACACUGGGACUGAGACACGGCCCAGACUCCUACGGGAGGCAGCAGUGGGGAAUCUUGCACAAUGCGCGAAAGCGGGAUGCAGCAAUGCCGCGUGUGGGAAGAAGGGCUUCGGCUCGUAAACCACUUUCAGUUGGGACGAAGCUUCAGGCGUUAAUAGCGUUUUGGAGUGACGGUACCUUCACAAGAAGCCCCGGCUAACUACGUGCCAGCCGCCGCAGUAA
RNAcentral lists this ribosomal RNA (495 nucleotides) under uncultured bacterium. RNAcentral's name for it is "partial 16S ribosomal RNA". It matches the Rfam family "Bacterial small subunit ribosomal RNA", at positions 28 to 523 of the family's 1533-position model. The record is from RNAcentral.